UCUCUCCUCUCUCCUUUCUCUUGGACCCUUUGCUCUGGGGAAACCAGCUGCUACAUCACCAUCAGCCUUGUGACCAUGCCACAUGGUGUUCCACAGACAUCCUACAUGCAUGACAUUGAUUCACUCUUACAUUUGACAGGAUUGCAGGAGCUCCUCAGACAAGAUCUGUGGCAACAGUAACAAUAAAAGCAUCCCAUGCGGACCAAACUCCUGCUGCAGAACCUGGCCGUCCACUCCACCCACGUGCCUUAGCAAAGUGCCCUUGGUGAGGCUGAGGGACUAGGCAGCCAGGACUCCUGAGGGGACCUUAUCAGAGAGGGAAGCCACCUCGGACUGAGUGGUGAGUGCUGCUCUAGGACUGCCCUAAAACUGGAUUUGAACAAAAGACCACAUGCCGUAUGACUCCAUUGGAAUGAAACAUCCAGAACAGGCAAAGCCACAGAGGCAGGAAGCAGCAUCCCCCCAGGUCAGCAACACCUCUGGAGCUGAGGCUGGCAGAAUGUGGCGGGGGCUCCUCUGAGAGCAUGGCAGCUUCUAAUGGACCCACGUGGUUAGUUUGAGAGAAACAGUCACCAGAAGACAGCCAUAUGUGUCCGGGCUGGGAGACCUAACAUUUCAGAGCCACCAACCCUGCAUCACUGGCUGACAGGUGGCUGGACAUCGUGUCACCACUGUCUUCUGGGAAUAAACAUUUCUCAGCUUUCAAAAAAAAAAAA
This 716-nucleotide long non-coding RNA is filed under the name Homo sapiens (human). RNAcentral's name for it is "uncharacterized LOC101928682 (LOC101928682)". The record is from RNAcentral. Lineage: Eukaryota; Metazoa; Chordata; Mammalia; Primates; Hominidae.